CAAACCACGCAUCUUAUUAAUCGGUUGACUUAUUAUACAACGGGUACGCGCAUAAAUAAUAUAAUAGCCACGACACGUUCGUAUUAUUAUGUAGGUAGAUGUUUUUUAAGAAAAAUCUUUAUUAUAUUCGUACGCGGGAAGUUUAUAGUUAGUUUAGUAUAAUAUCGUAUUAUUUAUUAGUUCAAUGUUCUCAUUUUUCAUUUAUUAUCAUUUUUUUUUGAAAUGAACUUAAAACACACAG
Cinara cedri is the source of this 241-nucleotide non-coding RNA. NCBI's taxonomy places the organism in Eukaryota, Metazoa, Arthropoda, Insecta, Hemiptera, Aphididae. The record is from the annotation of a GenBank genome assembly.